AACUAAAACAAGAUACAAGAUAGGUAGUUAGACAAGUGUUGAUGUAGUCUUAACAACCCAAGAGCAUAUUCCACUCUUGGACCUUUAAAACUUCACACAAAAAACACCUAGCUCUUACAAUUGACACAAGAGAGGCAUCCACCACCCAAGCACCAACGUAUCAAGCAAAAUGCAGCACACAAGAGAAUCCACCCUUAUGUUAUGCCUUAGUUUCAAUUGGACUCUCUCUCACUCUAAGAGAAUUAUUCUUCAAUAAUAAUGAUCAACUAAAGAAAUAAACCCUACAAUGUUCUAUUUAUACUACAUUACAAUAAUAGACAAAAUGACAAAAGGGCCCUUUAGUGACUAAUCUUCAAAAAUACUCAAAAGUGUCACGAUCAUGAUCAUACUUGUAUCAUCCUUUCCAUCUUAAGAGGAAUUUUCCCACAAAUUCAUAACCUCACCUCUUUUACAAAGGCACUUCACAAUCUCCUUCACACGGCCACACAUCUUCUAUAUCUUCCUCGCCUUGCAUUUUAACCUCUUUUUUCUCUCUAUCUUAAGGCUUGCCAUCAACCUUAGCCGAUUCAAUUACUACUUCUUCCCCAAGACAGUACAAUAUUCCCUCCCUUAGGAUCACGUUCCUCCAGUUUGGGCACUCACUAGCCUUGUGCCUCCACCCUUGGAAUUUGAAACAUUGAAAUCCCUUGGGAUUAGAAGUAGAAUUCAAUUUACCUUCAUACCUUAGAGGAUGUUUUUGGACAACCUUGGUGGCCUCGGGUUGGGUAGCCAUGAAUGAGUUAUCUUUGAGCUCCCUCUCAACCUCUAAAACCGCAUGGAAGAUGCCAUCUAUGGUGUUGAAUUUUUGAAGCGUCAUGCGAGUAGAGAUGUCCUUUUUUAACCCAACCUUGAAGCAUACAAUGUCAUGACUUACUUGCUCGUCUCAGUGGUUAAGUUUCAACAUCAAUUGUUGAAAUUCAUCGUAGUAAGCCAUGACACUCUUGUUCCCUUGCCUCAAAUUGUACAAUUUAGCAAGGAGCUCAUGCCUAGAUGUCUCGGGCAAGUACCUUUGUCGUAUAAGUUUCUUCAAUCAAAACCAAGGAGGAGGUUGUCCCCCAAUCAUCUCAUUCCCAAACCGUUUAACAUGCUCCCACCAUGUAUUAGCAUACCCUUCGAAGUGAGCUAUAGCAUAAAAACUUUUUUUUCUUCAGUGAGAUCAUUAAGUUGGAAGAUCUUGUCACAAGAUGACUCCCAUGCAAGGUAGGCUUCGGGAUCACUCUUACCUUUGAAAAUGAAAAGGCUCACUUUGAUGGAAUUGAGACCUAUAUCUUGGUUUGGGAGGCCAUCUCUCACCUCAUGUCCUAACUCCCCAUGUCUAUACCUCAUUCUUUUUUCCCUCAAGUAAACAUCAUCAUACGGAUCGUAACCAUCAUGUUGUCCUCCCCUACCAUAUCCCUCAACAUGGAUGAGUCUAUUUGGGUUAAGUGGAGCUUGUAGUGGCGGGAUUGGAUUUGGAUAGUUAGGUCCUUGGUCAAGUGAAGUUUGGAUGGGAGGGUUCGGGUUUGGUGAUGGUAUUUGGGUUCCAAGCCCUUCUGGUUGGACUUGGUGGAGUGGAGGAUGGCUUGGUCUAUCUUGUUCUCGGCUUCGGGAGUAAAGAUUGGUUUGAUUUAUGGCAAUUGGUGUAUAGUCCAUUUCGUGCAAGGUCUUAGGAGUAUUAGUUGGGGAAAUGUUUUAAGGGUUAGAAGGUCGACUCCUUUGGCUUUCCACACGUUCUAAUCUCCCACUCAUUGAUGCCACAUCCGUAUCUAAUUUCUCAAGACCCAUAUUCAACCUAGCCACAUCUCGGGACAUAGAUUCAAGGCGAGCCAAAAUGAGAUUGAUGGCAUUAUUAUCCAUUGUUUGAGCAUUUGAAGCCUGGGGUUCCAUUAUGGUGGUAUCAAAAAUAACCCUUCAAGUUAUGGUCCAAUUAAGAUACGAAAUCAGUCCGCAACGUCACACACAAAAAGAGAAUGCAAAUCCUACAACACAAAACACACGUUAUUUCAAAACAACCUCCCACAAUGAGAUCCCACCUUCAAGUUUCUUCAAACUCAAGCUCAACAUUGGUGGAUGACUCAAAUAACCUCGAAUUUAGCUCAAAUUCAAACCCUAUGCUCCUAUAGUGUUAGAGAACACAAAUCUAACACUAAAAACACAAGAAAAAUACAAAAUCAAAAACUCAAAAUUUGACCUAGGGUCAAAAACGGGUUUAGUAUAUUUUGGGAAGAUUUUCGAUUUUGACAUUUCUUUUUUUUGUUGGGAUAUUUAAUUUCUGUACUCUAAUAUUCUUAGUGAACAAGAUCUAACACCAGAAACACACAAAAAAUCAAGUUUUUUGAAAGAUCUUAAAAACGUGAACAAUAACUUUUUUUUUUCAAGAUAACAAGCCCAAGAUUGAUUUUGUUGGAACAAAAUCAAACCUUUCUUUGAUACCAAAUGAUAUGGAAUAAACAAGGGAACAUGAAAUCACAGCCCAAAACAGUCCAAAAAUCACAACAAAUCGUGGACCAAAUGGGACCUCUCUCGGAUUCACUAUCUAGAACAAGAAAGAAGAGGAUACAAGGUGUUAAUACACCAAAAUAGCCAGCCAACAACAAGUUUAGCAACACAAGAUGAAGCUCCACAAUAUUAUACAAUAGCAACAAGAACAAACGGGUUACAUUAACAACACAAGAAGCCGAAACUAAAACAAGAUACAAGAUAGGUAGUUAGACAAGUGUUGAUGUAGUCUUAACAACCUAAGAGCAUAUUCCACUCUUGUAACUUUAGAACUUCACACAACGAGCAUAUUCCACUCUUGGACCUUUAAAACUUCACACAACAAACACCUAGCUCUUACAAUUGACACAAGAGAGACGUCCACCACCCAAGCACCAACGUAUCAAGCAAAAUGCAACACACAAGAGAAUCCACCCUUAUGUUAUGCCCUAGUUUCAAUUGGACUCUCUCUCACUCUAAGAGAAGUAUUCUUCAAUAAUAAUGAUCAACUAAAGAAAUAAACCCUACAAUGUUCUAUUUAUACUACAUUACAAUAAUAGACAAAAUGACAAAAGGGCCCUUUAGUGACUAAUCUUCAAAAAUACUCAAAAGUGUCAUGAUCAUGAUCAUACUUGUAUCAAAAGUUAACAGUUUCAAAUUCUUCUUCGUCAUAUUUAUCCGAAGGCCUCUUUUUGCUGACAUGAAAUUUGAUUGGUGCUUUUUUUAUUAGAAAAGAUUAAUUUAGUCUCCAACAUAAUUAAAAUUUGUGAAGAAGAAGAGAAUUUCAAUCAGUGAUGAGAUGUGAUAAUAAUCUUAAUGAGAAAUAAUUUGAGUGGUUAAAGGAAUGAAAUAUCCUUGGGCAAAAUCUUGAUCGUUUUUAAAGUCAUAAACGGCAAAAUUUUCAAUGACAAUUUAAUUAUUUUAAUAAUAUUCAAAACUUAAAAUUAUAUUCUUUGGCAUGAUCCCGUGAUGUGUUUUUUUUUUUUUAAUAUCAACUUUGUUUAAGCUUACAAGUAUUUCUUUUGUUUAUUAAACUUUACGAGUUAGAAUAUAACUUUGUUAAUGGGUCUCCAACUUUGUGAUGUAUAUUGUAUUGUAAAAAAGAUUAUUAAUAUCGAUAAUAAAUAUUUUGUCAUGAUAAAACAAGCAUAAUCAUGAGAAAUGAAAAAAAGAUCAAGUGAGACACUUAAUAUAUUUGAGAUAUAAUAUUAUUUACAUAUCGUUUAAAUAUACAUAAGAUUUAUUUUAACGCCAAUUUUUUUUUAAUAAUAUAAAUUUUUUUGUCUGUAUAAUCUAAUUGAUUGACAUGAGAAAUACGUGUAAAGCAUGUAAACUAAACUAAUAACCUCUAAAUUAAUAAACUAAUAGCAUUUGAUCUAACUCAACAAUCACACUCUUUAGCUUCAUUUAUUAUUAUCUGUUUUAAAAGUAAAUUUAUAUAUACAAUUUUGUUUUUACUGUUGUACUUUAAUAUUUAAGUUUACUCCAUUAAAUUUCAAAACGAUUUAGGUUAGCGAAUUGAAUUUUUUCUAAUAUAUUUAAUAUUAGAUAAAUAACAAGUUAGUGUGAUUCUUUUUCCAAUGUUGAUGAGAACAAUAUUAAUUAAGCGAGAUGCUUAAGAAAAUUAGUGUGAUUCAUUUUCCAAUGUCCUUAACUAUUCUUUUAUAAAAAAACAUAUAAAAUAUAUUUUAAUGAUGAAUAAUCACUUUUACUUUUUUUCUUAUUUUAGUUCUAAAUAUGAUCUAUUUGCAAUAUCAAGCUACUUAAAGAAAAGUAAUAAAUGUUUAUUGUGAGUACAAUCUUCAAAAUCAAAGAUAAAUUUAAUAAUAAAAUUUAAAAUUAAUUUUAUCCCACUUUCUUCAUUUUAUCUUUUUAAUAAUAAAGUUUAGAUUAGAGUGAAUGUGUUUUAUCAAAAUCAGGAAAUAGCUGCAUUGAAAUGUGAAAAUCGUUCGCUGCUUAUGAAAAUGAAAGAGUUGGAAGCAACCCUCAAUGCGGAGUUAGAAGUUAAAGAAAAACAAUUACAAAGCUAAAGCAGAAGCCCAAGGAACGAGAUGACACUAUAAAUUUUUAUAGUUGUGUAUUUGAAGCAAUGGAAAGAGAAGCGGGAGGAUUAAAGUAAAAGCUAGAGGGCGUUAGUCAGUAGAAAAAAGGCAAAUUUGCUUUCUACUGUGAAGAAUAAAUUAACAAAAAUACGUAUUAAAGGUUGCAACGUAAAGUCUCAGAACUGAAAAAUAAAUUGGAGAUUUAGGGUAAUAAGAUUUCUAAAAGGGUUAUUGAUGAGAACGAACAAGUUGGUGGGUCUUCUGGUGUGAACACAUAUUGAUGUGCAUGCAUGUUCUGUUGUUACUUUUGAAGGAGUUUUUCUUAAGCGAGCAUUUCGGUUGAACUAAUUUAUUGAACAAAAAUGUAAUUGUAAUUGUUAUUUCUAUAAGCGAACGUUUUAUUGAACUAAAACGUUGAAUAGAAAUAUAGCUGUAUUGUUAUUGAAGAUAUGAACUUAGAAAGGUAAGUUGAGUUAUUGUUCAUAUCUUAAUAGUUUUUUUUGGACAUCUUUGAAUGAGUAUAUUUGGACCUUUGUCUAUCAUCUUCUAAAAUGUUGUGAAUUUUUUAGAAAAGGAAUUUUUUAAUGCUUUUUUGUCCCUUCCUCUUCAUCUCAAGGAAUGUUUUAAAAAAAUUAUUUUAUAUUAAAAAAAAUCUUUAUUUAUACAUAAUCAAUGUUGCUUUGAUAAUUUUCUCACGUGUUUAAAUAUGAAAAUCCUCUUUUCUUAUAUAUAUUACAAUCGUAAAACACACAACCUAGUGCACUAAAACUUUCGCCAUACACAGAGCAUUUAAAGUUUGAUUAUUUUUCAAAAGGAUAUUUAAAUGCUCUGAGCAUGAAUAUGAAUUGGAUAUUUCAAAAAUACUACAUCAAUCAUAUUGCAUUAAAAAGUACUUACUAAAUCGUAUAUCUGUGUUGAUGUAUUUAAAAAUAGAAACAAUUCUUUCUAUUGGGUUAAGCUCUAUAUAUGUGGAUAUUCAAAUAAAAAAAUUAUAACAAACUAUGUUGGUGUUUGAAAAAAGAUUUUGAAAGUAGACUUUGAAACUUUAUCUUCAAAUAAUUUUUUGGUUAUAAAUUAAAUCUUCAAAUAUUUUCAAGUUUUCAAAAUUAUUAUCAAAGAUCAAUUUUAGAGGUUUUCACUAACAAAAUUUUAAUUCUUUAUCAAAUAAAAAGCAUGUCAAAACAUCACUCAAAAUUAUAAAAUGAUAUUUUGAAAAUUCAAAUUUUUAAAUUUCAAAAUCUAUGAUUAAAUAAGGUUGAAUAUAAUUAUUUAUUCUUUUUCAUUAUUAAAAAAGAGUUCUUAAAUAGAGGAAAUAUCUCUUAAGUAGCGUAUCUUAGCUAACAUGCAUCUUGAUGCAUAAUUAGGUCCUUCUUUUAUCACGUCAUCAUGCAUAUAAAAAACUCAAACAUUUUAUGAUUCACCCUACCUAGUUUCAAGAAUAGGUAUCGAAAAGACUUAAAGAAAUUAAAAUCUUUGAUGAAUUUUUUUUUAAAAUUUCGUUGGCAUCAUCACAUCGUAGGUUUUACCUUUGCCACUACCAUCAUUGUAACAAAAAAAAUACAACAAUAAUAAAAAUAAUCAAAUAUGAUCGAAUUUUAAUUUUUUUCUAUAAGAAAAUAAAAUAUUCUUUUGAAAUUUCUUCUCAUUUUUUUUAUAUCUUUUCUCUUUGUUUUUUUUCUACUCUAUUAAUUUCUUUAAAUACUGAAGAAGACGAAUGAUAAUGAUUAAGGUCAGAAAAUUUUUGAAAGAAACUGAAAGAGAAAAAAUUAAGUAGAAGAAAAAAAAGUGAGGAUAAGACUCAUGGCUUUUCAACACAAUAGAGGUGUUACUGUGUGUCUUUCACUAUUUAGCACAAAUAUAAGUGUGGCUUUUUAAAGGGGCAACUAUUCCACUUAAAAAUAGUUUGGAAGAGUGUAGGGAGUUAUAGUACCCUCGUCAAAAUUGAGGUGUCUUAUAACAAUGUUAAAGUUUAGGCAUAUUUAAGAUCUUUUUAAUUUUAUGCAUGUAUUAUAUUUAUAUUAUUUGUUAGUAAUCAAAUUGAAUCAAACUAAUCUAUUGUUCAUGCAUGUGCAUGCAUAUUAUUAUAUGAUCAAAUAGUAAUAUGAAUUAAGCUAAAUAAAUAGUUAUUAUACUACUUACGAAAGUAAACUUUGCGACAUUUAUUUUUGUAGUUAUGAAUAUUCAGAAUUUCACAUAUUAUGAUUGUUUUGAAUUUUAUCUUUAAACAUGGGAUUUGUUGUAACAACCUGAAAAUUUGAUAAAAUAUGUGAAAUUUAUGAUUUUAUGUGAUUUAACUAUUUUACCCUCCUCAUAGUUGUAUAAUGGUAUUUCUUUGGUGUGGGGGUGAUUGACAUAGUUUUUUUUGAAGCAUUUCGGUACCAUUUAUGCGAUAUUGUGAUUUUUGAUGGCUCCGAGAGCCUUAUUUUAAACUUAUGUGGAUAUCUUUUGAUCCAUACAAAAGAUAGCUGAACGAAUUGCAUCAGUAGCUCUGGAAUCAAUUUUAGACUAGGUAGACCUUUGGUUUGGGUCCUGGUGCACUCGAGCUCAUUUUGACCUGUUGAUCGGAAAGUUGGAAAAUUAAAAAUAUGAGUGUGAGACUCACAUUUGGUCAAAACAACCUCAGAUGGAAAAUACGACUUCACCAGUAGAUCCGGAACGUUGAUUUUAGGUUUUUAACAUAUUUGAUGUGAUUUUACGGAUUUUAAAUCUCAUUUCGACCCUCGGUUUGAAAAAUUAUGAUUUUGAGUUUCAAGGGUCAACUUUAUAAAAAUGACAUUUUUUUUGAAAAUUCGACUUCACCAAUGUGUUUAUAACAUUGAACUUAGUGUGGUUGUAUAGUUCAAUUGUGUAUAUCGAACUCCAAACAAAUCUCGAACAUUCUGUCGAAGUCUGUUAGACUUAAAAAAAAUUCUAUAACAGUAAAAUCUGUUACAAAUUGUAGAUUUCCCCCUCUUUUUUGGCCAAUUUUACUCAUUUUACAUCAUGCCUUUUGAGAGUUUAAUCUUAAAAUAGUCUGGAAGCUUAAAAGUGAAGCUUGGGGGAGCUUUGAUAGCUAGAUUAACAUCUAUUUCUUAAUUCUAUUAGGGAUUUAAGGUAAGAAUUUACCUUUUUCUUAGUAAUUUUUUGAUUAAUUUCUCAAAACCCCAAAAAUCUCAGGGCUUGAUUUUAAACCCCAAUUUCGCUCCUUUUUACUUGAAUAAUAUUUCUAUCUUAUAAUUACUUGUUUUUCAUCAAUUUAACCUUCAAAACAACUCUGAUUCUUUAUUUUAACCCGAAUUUCAAAGAUUUUGAUCGGUAAAGCUUAAAAAUGUUUUUUCUUUGAUUUGAAUCUCGUUUUUGACUAGAUUUGACUUGGGUUUUCAGCUAUAGCUUUAUAAAAAUAUGGGUAAUAUAUUUUUGAAGUAAAAUUAUGAUUUUUUCAUCGUUUUAGAAAAUCUAUUUUGGGGAUCUGUUUUGACCCCAAAUCAAAAGUAGUUAAUAUUGGUGUCAUUGGUUUUGUUUUGAUGCGUAGAUUCCAUAUUUGAUGCUUUUAGAGUAUUUUGGGAUCAUUCGUGGAAAGUAAGGCUGUGGAUUCGAGGUGUAGAGGACUUGUUUCAGCUUUUGAGGUAGGUUAUGACUUAACUCUUUCAGACUGGGAUGGGUAGUAAAUGAUGGUAUAAAAUGGAUGUUAAGGAUGGGAACUAAUCAUGAAAAAUCACUAUCUAUGUGUUGUGCCCGUGUGGGGGUCUAUAUGUGAUGUAAUUGUUGAAAAUGAGAUAUUAUGUGAUAUGUGUGACCGUGUGGGGUCCUAUGUGAUAUUCUUGAAUACAUGUGAAUAAUUAUAUUAUGUUGUUAAAAUUCUUAAUGUGGUACCAUUGGUGUAUUGUGAUUAUAUUCAUACUUUAUUGACU
RNAcentral lists this long non-coding RNA (8428 nucleotides) under Capsicum annuum. Its description in RNAcentral is "long non-coding RNA (CANN_LNC019656)". Lineage: Eukaryota; Viridiplantae; Streptophyta; Magnoliopsida; Solanales; Solanaceae. The record is from RNAcentral.